This 770-nucleotide ribosomal RNA is filed under the name Vibrio sp. MR08-85. Its description in RNAcentral is "bacterial SSU rRNA". It matches the Rfam family "Bacterial small subunit ribosomal RNA", at positions 62 to 813 of the family's 1533-position model. Lineage: Bacteria; Pseudomonadati; Pseudomonadota; Gammaproteobacteria; Vibrionales; Vibrionaceae. The record is from RNAcentral.
UCGAGCGGAACGAGUUAUCUGACCUUCGGGGAACGAUAACGGCGUCGAGCGGCGGACGGGUGAGUAAUGCCUGGGAAAUUGCCCUGAUGUGGGGGAUAACCAUUGGAAACGAUGGCUAAUACCGCAUAAUAGCUUCGGCUCAAAGAGGGGGACCUUCGGGCCUCUCGCGUCAGGAUAUGCCCAGGUGGGAUUAGCUAGUUGGUGAGGUAAUGGCUCACCAAGGCGACGAUCCCUAGCUGGUCUGAGAGGAUGAUCAGCCACACUGGAACUGAGACACGGUCCAGACUCCUACGGGAGGCAGCAGUGGGGAAUAUUGCACAAUGGGCGCAAGCCUGAUGCAGCCAUGCCGCGUGUAUGAAGAAGGCCUUCGGGUUGUAAAGUACUUUCAGCAGUGAGGAAGGCGGNUACGUUAAUAGCGUGCUCGUUUGACGUUAGCUGCAGAAGAAGCACCGGCUAACUCCGUGCCAGCAGCCGCGGUAAUACGGAGGGUGCGAGCGUUAAUCGGAAUUACUGGGCGUAAAGCGCAUGCAGGUGGUUUGUUAAGUCAGAUGUGAAAGCCCGGGGCUCAACCUCGGAAUAGCAUUUGAAACUGGCAGACUAGAGUACUGUAGAGGGGGGUAGAAUUUCAGGUGUAGCGGUGAAAUGCGUAGAGAUCUGAAGGAAUACCGGUGGCGAAGGCGGCCCCCUNNACAGAUACUGACACUCAGAUGCGAAAGCGUGGGGAGCAAACAGGAUUANAUACCCUGGUAGUCCACGCCGUAAACGAUGUC